This 417-nucleotide unclassified non-coding RNA is filed under the name soil metagenome. Its description in RNAcentral is "partial contains 5.8S ribosomal RNA, internal transcribed spacer 2, and large subunit ribosomal RNA". The stretch from base 1 to 120 matches the Rfam family "5.8S ribosomal RNA", at positions 35 to 154 of the family's 154-position model. The record is from RNAcentral.
GAUGAAGAACGUAGUGAAAUGCGAUAAGUAAUGUGAAUUGCAGAAUUCAGUGAAUCAUCGAAUCUUUGAACGCACCUUGCGCUCCUUGGUAUUCCUCGGAGCAUGCCUGUUUGAGUAUCAUGAAACUCUCAAAGAAAAUCUUUUGUUAAUUCAAUUGGUUUGCUUUGGACUUGGAGGUUUUUUUUUGCAGAUUAAUUUCUGCUCCUCUUAAAUAUAUUAGCUGGAUCUCAGUAUAUGCUCGGUUCCACUCGGCGUGAUAAGUAUCACUCGCUGAGGACACUGGUAAAAAAGGUGGCCGGGAAAUACAGAUGAACCGCUUCAAACAGUCCAUUCACUUGGACAAUAUAAAGUUUUAAGAUCUGAUCUCAAAUCAGGUAGGACUACCCGCUGAACUUAAGCAUAUCAAUAAGCGGAGGA